GAGCUAAUGCCUUUUUCAUAUUCAUCAUUAUAUUAUGUUAUGUAAUGCCUUCUGGAUUCCACUUCACAACCACCAUCAACAGCCAUGGAACUAACUCAUUAAGAUGAACUCUUGUUCCACACAGCACAACAAGCACUCCAUGAAGGAAAGCUCUGCAAUCUGCAUGCAGCAUGAAUCUGCCACAACACAACACAGGGUCCCUCUAUCUUAUUUUCUAUAUCCCGGUGUGAAGAGUGUUCCAUAAUGUCACCAGCUGAGAGAGGGAGGAUAGUUGAUCCUGUACUGUAUUCAGAACUGGCUGGAGAGUCUUCAUACAGAUCCAUUUGCCUGAAUCAUAUUAAAAAAAUAUUAGUCUUC
Molecule: non-coding RNA, 357 nt
Organism: Arachis ipaensis
Lineage: Eukaryota; Viridiplantae; Streptophyta; Magnoliopsida; Fabales; Fabaceae
Source: RefSeq, a predicted model, not a curated record